This is an RNA transcript of Impatiens glandulifera, 2359 nucleotides long. RefSeq lists it as uncharacterized. NCBI's taxonomy places the organism in Eukaryota, Viridiplantae, Streptophyta, Magnoliopsida, Ericales, Balsaminaceae. The transcript has 9 exons. The record is from RefSeq and is a predicted model, not a curated record.
AUUCCUGGUUUCUCUAUCUCUACAGUUCAAUUGAAGCAUGAUAAUGUUUGAUCUGAAUCUCUAGAUAGUUUAUUAUGAUUUCAUAACGAUUUCUUCUUCUGUUUAUUAUGGAAAUUGAACUCGAUUGUUAUUUGUGAAUAAUUUAAUCAUUCCAUUGACACAUUUAUGGCUUACUCUGCUGGUUAGUAGCUUAAUAGCAUUAGAAUUGAUAAUCCACCAUUGAAGUUGUAUAUAUUAAGCACAAGCUUAAUGAUAUCUACAGUUGAAUUGAAGUAUAAUAUUAUUUGAUCUGAAUCUCUGGAGAGUUUAUUAUGAGUUCAUAACGAAUUCCUCUUCGGUUUGUUACAGAAAUUGAACUCAAUUGCUAUUUAUGAAUAAUUUCAUCCUUCCAUUGACAUAUUCAUGGUUUACUCUGCUUGUUGGUAGCUUAAUAUCAUUAGAAAUGCUAAUCCACUAUUGAAGUUGUAUAUAUUAAGCACAAGCUUUAUGAUCUCUAUAGUUGAAUUGAAGCAUACUAUUCUUUGAUUUGAAACUCUCGAGAGUUUAUGAUUUCAUAACCAUUUUUUCUUCUAGCCAGUUAAUUCUGAUAAUGUUAUUGUUGGAUCUCUUUAAUAUAUUCCUUUAAAUUCAGGUGCGUAUCUAUAUCAUCAUUCUUUUUGAUUUCUUAAUCUAUUAUUGCUUGAUUGAAACAUAUUUUAAUGUUUUUUACUUUUUUUUGUUCAAAUGUUUGCAGUUCCUAGUGAGCCAUAAUAUCAUUCUUAGAUUUUUUUUCUCAAAUCAAUUCAGAGGCUGAAACAGAGUUCCAUAACUUCUUUCAACAAGGAUUUUCAACAAGGAUACUCUAAGAAGGUUUGCAGAAACAGUCUCAUUGGAUUCAGCAAAACAUAUGCCGUGGCUUGUUGAAAACAUUAUUUUUCUUGGUCUUAUUGGAUUCAUCCAUGGAGCAGAAGAUUGACACGCAUAAUAAUUAUGGAUGGAGACUGCAAUAUAUUUUUGGAGCAACUUUUUCAAGUCAAUAUUGGUGCCAAUUUGAGACAACUCAAUGCUGAGAUAUUGCUUGCCUUGUUCUAGAGGUUGCUGGAGAAAUUUUUUACUACGGUUUCAUCAGGUUUCUACAAGGAUGAUGAGCAGGGUUGGCUGUGUUUAGAGGAUUUCUGUCUUUUUCUCUUCAUCUAAGUCAAAACAUGUUUUCCAUGAGCAUCUCAACUUUCUAGUCACAAAAUUCAAGAAUUCCCAAGGCAGAUUUUUAUCUUGAUUUUCACUGAAGAAGGUGAAAGUGGAAAAUGGAGUCACUUUCUCGGGGAACUGCUAAGCUUAAUGGUUGAAUUUAAAACAUUGUUACUAUCUAAUAAAAAUGUGAUUUUCUCGUUUUUACAUCUGUUCUGGGCUGCUCAGGCAAUAAUCUUCUACUGCCAGAAACAAUUGGAGAAAGGUCUUUAACUGAUUUUAUAGUACUUUUUUUGUUCAUCUUAUACAUAUUCCAGGCCAUUGUAUGAUCUUUUCCUCUCCAUUAUAGUUUUUGGUACUUUAUGCCUAUACCAUAGAGAGUUGCAUAACUUUACUACAAUAUUUAGUAACCACAUCCCAUUCUUUUCAGUUUUGAAAAAUCUAAAAAGAAUCAGAUGAUGCAUUUCAUUGUUGGCUUUGCUCUAACCUUCCUUCUUUUGCACUGGUAAGUUGUCAAAGGUUCUUAAUUUCUUUUGCUUGUUGUACACUUGUAUUGCUACUGUGCUUGAGCAUAUGUUUUUUAUAUAAUUGAGAUCUUUGUUAACAAACUUGUGUUCCCCCGCCCUCUCCCUUCACUUUACAACUAAACAUCCUUUCUUUGGUCAAAGGAGUGGACGGUCAACUCUUACAUGUAAAAGAUGUUAAAAUAUUGGCUAGCAUUCUUUUGAAAAGGCGCCAUGAAUAUCAUAUUCAACAUGCAGAGUCUUGUCAAAAGUUGUCAAAGACAGGGGUUUAUAUCCUCUGGCUUCUACUAGAGACCUGUGCUGAAUUUGUAUCUUUUUCACCUGGUGAAUGUGAAGACCUACUAUUGGAGGUGCUGUAGCAGGGUGAGCCAGCCUCUAAAGAUCCAGAUGUUUUGCUGCCUUUCAUAAUUGUCUUGAGGAGUCCCACUAACUCAUCUUUUGGAGCUAUGAGUAAUAAAAAUCAGUUAUGCUUAAGUCAGAUGAUGAAGUUGAGAAUGUGAUUGCAAAAGUACAGAAUGGAAUGGCUGAAAAAGAUGUGGUUGCAGGUCAAAAGAAAAUUAUUUCAGAGGUUGUUGCUAUGAAGCUUUCCGAACUUAACUGCAGCUCCAAGCAAUCUGAUUUAGCUAAAAAUCAGUUAGAAAGUUGUAGACAGAUGCAUGUAGAGAAGU